AGGAAAGGGAGAGGAGGCCAGGAAGGAGAUGCACAGGAGAUGGCCACGAACCAGCAGUAAACUUCCAGAUUCUAAACACUGGCCCUUACCCCAGGCAUCGAGAGACCUUUCCGAGACAGCGAACUGGCCAGGCCCCCAGUGAAGGUCUGUGGAAGAAUCAUAGGCUUUGAUCCCCCUUCAUAACUGGAAGCCUCACACAAAAGCUCUUUGACAUCUCAUCUGUCAACGGAGAGGGCGGGGAUCCCUGGAAGAAGAGAGACGUGCUGGCAGGCAGACGCGGUGGAACUCACAUCAGUUCGGUUCAGGAUUAUACAUAGUGUCUGUGUCCCUUUACCCAGACUUCCACUUCUGGGAAUGAUCCCUCAGGUAAACUCCCACUGUGGAGUAUGGACUCCACACUGUACACAAAGGACUGAGAAAGCCCAUCAGUAGAGGCUGGUUAUAUACAGCAUCCGUACAGGGAGCGCCAUAAACCGGGAAAAGAAAAAGUAUGUCUUAUAUUUAACGCAGUCUCCAAGGUAUUGAAAGACCCCCGGAGCGGGGAGACCCUCACUCAAAUCUCGGGAUGACGGGACCCCCCAAGAACUCACACAAGACCUUCUUUGCUGUAAUCACAUGAGGUUUAUCGAUAGUAACCAGUGCACUGGGGUCGAGACUCUAUCCCACGCAGGGGCAGUGGACUUCAACCCCGAGAGGCUGGGAGAAGAGGUAUUUAAAGGGAGAAACCACAACCUGAGGGGUCAGGGAUGGCAUCAUUGGAAAGUGUGUACAAUAACAGUGAAAAAUCACAAGGAAAAACUCUGUUUUUCAAGAUUGUUUCCUAGGAGAAGCUGUCUCCUGCUUCUCAGAUUGUUUAACUCCAUGGUCUGCUAGUUCCUAGGAGAAACUGCUUCCUGCUUCUCAAGAUUGUUCUUUAAGAUUUAUGGUCAGCUAGUUUCUGGGAGAAAGCUGUUGAGCCAGUCAUUGUAAUUACCCAUUCUAUAGCCCUUUCUUUCUUCUGCUCUAAACUUUGUGUCUAGGGGGGCAACUUUAAAACUUUUACCUUUCAGUGUGUUUAAGAAAAACUAAGCACAGGGGCACUUAUCUGGUCCAACACCACACCCAUAAUCCCAGCAUUUGAGAGGUGGGUGAAGGAGGACCAAUAUACUUCAAGGCCAUCUUCGAGUACCUGGCAAGUUAGGAGCCAGCCUGGGCUACAAGCAACACUGUCUUAAAACAAAAUGGCUUUAAUCCAGGGCUGGGGAAGCAGACAGAUCGUCGAGAUCAAGGCCAGCUUGGUCUACAGAGUGACUUUGCUACACAUAGACACUUUCCUGUCUUGAAAAGGUAAAUCGAAUGAAACAAAAACGACUUCUAUGUGUCCUAAUGUGGAUGAGACUUUAAAGAUGUUAUGCUAAGUAAAAGAAACCUAAGCUGGAGAGGUGUGCAACAGUUAAGAGCACCUACGGGGCAGCUCACAACUAGCAUUGAUGAUGUUCACAGGUGAGCAAACGUAUACAGGAGAGUGAGACAUUCAUACAAAAUAAUAAAAUAGACAAACACCAUUCUGUUUCGGUGACAUGUUGGAAUAGGUAAAUCAAAAAGAAAAAAAGUUAAAGAGACAACAUAGAUAAGUGGUCACCGCACUAAAAGAUGAGAAGUUUCUUCACCCCCCAUUUGGUUUCUGAUACAAGGUCUUGCUAUAUAAAAUAUGCAUUAGGCUAGCCUGAAACUCAGAUCGACCUGCCUCUUGCCCCUGAGUAUUGGGAUUGAAGAUGUGGACCACCACACCCACAUAUGGUUUCUUUUUCUUGUGGAUGAUCAAAUGUUCUGAAAUUAGUAGUAAUAGUUGCACACAUCUGUGAAUGCACUCAAACCCACUGAAUUACAUGCUUCAUUUAAAAGCUGAAACUCAGGCUGGGGUUAGGGCUUUGUAGGUGGAGUGUUUGCCUAGCAUGCUCAGGUCAUAGGUUCAGUCUCCAGCAUUGCCUACAUCAGGUGUGAUGGCACAUGCCUGUAAUUCCAACACUGGGAUGUGGAGGGGGAAACUUCACGGUCGUUUUUCUGAUACAUAACAAAUGUGAAGGCAGUGGGAGAUUUAUAGGACCUUGUUUAGCUUAUCUUCCCCAACUGCAUGCGUGUGCGCAUGUGUAUGCAUGCACACACACACACACACACACACCAGAAACAAAUUUGUUGCAUGUAUUAUAUCAGAAUAAAGUCAGAUCAUUAACUUUUGAGUCAGUCUUGCUGGCCAAGGCUUGCCUUAAACUCAUUAUCUCUACCUCAGCCUCCUGUGAUUAUGGGCAUCUGCUCCUGACAGGAACAUUAUUUGUUUUGAAAAGAGUAAUAUGGGGUUGGGGAUUUAGCUCAGUAGUAGAGCGCUUGCCUAGCAAGCGCUAGGCCCUGGGUUCGGUCCCCAGCUCCGGAAAAAAAAAGAAAAAAAAGAAAAGAAAAGAGUAAUAUGAAGACAUCUUCAGAUAACAAAAACAGAACCCAUGGGCCUUUACAAAGGAAACCUCUGGUGUGUUUAAGAAAAAAAAAAAAAAAGAAAAGAAAACUGAGGUCAAAAGGAAAUAAGCUGCCAAGACAAAGUGGUUAAAUAUUUAGAAAGCACAUGGGUGCAUUCAAAUUAUGGUGACUUGAAACUAUUUUUUAAUAAUAAUGAUUAGUGUGGGAAAGUAAAGAUAAGAUGAGGGCUGAGAGAUGGCUCAGUGGUUAAGGGCACUGACUGCUCUUCCAGAGGUCCUGAGUUCAAAUCCCAGCAACCACAUGGUGGCUCACAACCAUCUGUAAUGGGAUCUGAUGCCCUCUUCUGGUGUGUCUGAAAACAGCUACAGUGUACUUAUAUAUAAUACAUAAAUAAAUAAAUCUUUAAAAAAAAAGUUAAGAUGAAGGGGUUGGGGAUUUAGCUCAGUGGUAGAGUGUUUGCCUAUCAAGCGCAAGGCCCUGGGUUCGGUCCCCAGCUCCAAAAAAAAAAAAAAAAAACAAAACAAAACAAAAAAAGAUAAGAUGAACUAAGAAAACCCUGGCAAACAUUGAAAAUGGCAACAGGAAACUGAGUGUGGUGUUGAAUAUCUACAGUCGUAGUGCUCAAGACUCGAGGCCUGAGCCGUUUCAAUGUCAACUUCAACUGUAUUAUGAGUUCAAAGUCAGCCUAGGCUUCUGGGGCCAGCCUAGGCUUCUGGGGCCAGCCUAGACUACUGGGACCUUCUGUCUUGGUUAGUCUUGAUUAUCAACUUGAUGGAAUUUAGAAACCCCAUGGAAACAAAUCCUCAUAGGAAGUAACUACGGUGCUUUAUUUCACAAUGGAUUUUGUCAGAAUACUUCACUACGGUAAUAGAAAAGUAUCCACCACACUAUUUCACAAUGGGGGCAGAAACCUUAGGGGACUGAGAUAAAAGGUGAGCCAAUCUUUUUGUUUGGAAGGAAAGUAGAUACCACUUUAGACUUUUUAUAUCUUCAAAGGAAAAUACUAGCCAGGCUUAGUGGUUAUUUAAUCCCAACACUCACAAGACAGAGGCAAGUGGAUCUCUGUGUGUUUGAGGUCAUUCUGGACAGUCAAAAUUACAUAACCCUUCCCCCCCAUCUCUUUCUCAAAAAAAAAAAAGAAAAGAAAAGAAAAAGAAAGAAAGAAAGAAAGAAAGAGAGGAAAGAAUAAAAUACUUAGAUCUUAUUCUUUCUCCCUAUCUUGAACUUUUUAAUUUUCAAAUCAUUAAGUAGAGCAGAGCAAAGUUCACAGGUAGCCGUAGUAACCUGAGGGGCUGAGGCAGGCUAUUGAAGCUGAGUGUGAAGCUAGGUGAGUCAUUUCCUAACCCUAACACUGAGGAGGUUGAGAUAGCAUAGAGAUAGCCUGGGCCAACUCCAGCUACAUAUCCAAAACUGGGAUGGGCAGGGAUCUGGAAGAGGAAGGAAAGAAGAAAGGGAGAAAAUAAAAGAGGGAAAAAAUUCAAUACUAAACAACACCCCCAGCAGUUUCCCCCUGGACAGGAGGAUGUGUGACCGAAUGUAAAGGUCUUCUGUUCACUGCUGGACCUCCGUGUGAGACAUGUUCACUAAGUGCUGGAUAAGUGAGUGGAUGGAUGCUUGGGCCACACACUUCUGGGCCUUGCCUGAAAGUCGUUUCUCACAGUAGCCUCGGUUUUAGUACCAGCCCCCCACCCCAGCUCCCCUCCUUGACUUCACUGUCUCCCUAUUGCCCAACACCACGAAAUCCAUCUCAUUUAUUGACUACUUUCUCCCACUAGAUUGUGGUUCUGUGAGAGUGAGAAUUCAGAUUGUCCCAAAAAUUGCUACAUACCUAAACCCGGAACAAUGCCUGACCAUAAAUAGGUGCUUUUUUAUUUACUGAAUGAACCAUGUGCUAUAAAUGAGUUAUUUCCAUAACAUUUUGGAAAUAAAACAGCUACUGGGUUACUACCA
Non-coding RNA from Rattus norvegicus (Norway rat), 4401 nucleotides. NCBI's taxonomy places the organism in Eukaryota, Metazoa, Chordata, Mammalia, Rodentia, Muridae. The record is from RefSeq and is a predicted model, not a curated record.